This 314-nucleotide unclassified non-coding RNA is filed under the name plant metagenome. Its description in RNAcentral is "partial contains 5.8S ribosomal RNA, internal transcribed spacer 2, and large subunit ribosomal RNA". The stretch from base 1 to 105 matches the Rfam family "5.8S ribosomal RNA", at positions 50 to 154 of the family's 154-position model. The record is from RNAcentral.
GAAAUGCGAUAAUUAAUGUGAAUUGCAGAAUUCAGUGAAUCAUCGAGUCUUUGAACGCACAUUGCGCCCCCUGGUAUUCCGGGGGGCAUGCCUGUCCGAGCGUCAUUGCUGCCCUCAAGCACGGCUUGUGUGUUGGGCUUCCGUCCCUGGCACCGGGGACGGGCCCAAAAGGCAGUGGCGGCACCAUGUCUGGUCCUCGAGCGUAUGGGGCUUUGUCACCCGCUCCCGUAGGUCCAGCUGGCAGCUAGCCUCGCAACCAAUCUUUUUAACCAGGUUGACCUCGGAUCAGGUAGGGAUACCCGCUGAACUUAAGC